UGUCGCUCUCUCACCCAGGCUGGAGUGCAGUGGCGCUAUCUUGGCUCACUGCAACAUCUGCUUCCCAGGUUCAAGUGAUUAUCCUGCCUCAGCCUCCCAAGUUGCUGGGAUUACAGGCGUGUGCCACCACGCCUGGCUAAUUUACUAAACUAAUAAAUUACUAAAUUAGUAAGUUACUAGUAAAUUAGUAAUUACUAAAAUAUAAUUUUUAGUAGAGAUGGGAUUUCAUCAUGUUGGCCAGGCUGGUCAUGAACUCCUGACCUCAAUGGAUCCUCCUGCCUCAGCUUCCUGAGUAGCUGGGACCACAGGUGCACACCACCACGCCCAGGUAAUUAAUUUUUAUUUUUUGUAGAGUCGGGGGUCUCCCUAUGUUUCCCAGGCUGGCCUCGAACUCCUGACCUCAAGUGAUCCUCCCACCUCAGCCUCCCCGAGUGCUGGGAUUAAAGACGUGAGCCACGGCACCUGGCCUGAAUUUUCCUCAAAUUCAAAAAAUCCUGAUGAAGGUUUGGCUAAAAUCUUUGGUGAGUUACCCCACUCCCUGUGGAACCUCAGGCUGGAUUUGAAGAGUUGCGUGCAUGGUCCUCAUUGUCUCCCAGGUAACCUGUUCCCGCUGCUGUGAAGGGAAGGCAGGUGCUCUUCCUUGAGGCUAGAAUCUGUCUACGUGUCACAGUCUCAGGAAAUUAAGCAAAACAGAUGAUAAACACCUCAAAAGGACCCUACUGAGCAUCAGUGGAGCAGAGCAGGGCCAUGUGGGACUGCGGCGUCAGAUGCCACCUCACACUAGCUGUGACACACCUGCCUCGCCAGUUUCUGCUCUGAGGCCCCAAAGCCGAGCUGAACCUCCUCCAGGGGUUCUCAGCCCUAACUGAGCAUGAAAACCCCUGGGGCAAUCCUCUUUUUAACAAUUGAGACAUUCCACACACACCCCACAUCAGAUUUUGGGGUGUGGGGAUAGACCUUCACAUUUGUAGUUUUCUAACCCUCCAGGGGACACUAGGCUGAGACUCAUUGGUCUCCACUCUGAACCUUCCACUGAACAUGUGAGAAAAACUAAGGCCCAGGGAAGUCUUUAGCAGAGAGCUGAGACGGAGAAAAGGGUUCUGAACCACAGCUGUCUGCUGAAGGAAGCUGUCCAAAGGCCAGUGAAGUCUCUCCUGAGGGUGCCUGGGCUGUGCAUCAGGAGUGAAGGUUGAGGGUCACCUUAGGUGUGAGAAGGAGCAACUGGGAGAGUGGCGCUGAUGCUUCCCCCCGGGUUAGGAGGCAUUUGGAUCACAGAGCGAUGCCUGUUCAUUCCUGCUUGCAAGGGAGCAGAUCUCUCGACACCCGAUGGGCCUCUAUUCCGUUCCGGCAGCUGUCCGUGUCAGGAGCGCUGGGCUUGCUCCUCCCCACGGGAGCCAUCACAGAGGCCUCGGGCAGUCUGCAUAGACAACUGCCUGGCAGGUGACCAGGAGGGGAUGCAUGAGCAGAUGCAGGUAGCACUCGCAGUCCCCCUAGCUGUGCCCUCAGCACCUGCUGUCUAGGAGGCAGAAGCCUUGUUCUCGGCCUUGCAGGUGACCCCAGUGUCUCUGAAUUCGGCCCCAUAUGUGUAGGAGGGGAGUGAUUGCAUCUGAAGAUGGGAGUCUGGUUGGGGGUUUGGGAAGCUCCCAUCACCCCUCAAGAGUCCACUGACCAGCCCAGCUCACACCAGGUGGGCCUUGGCACUGGAGGCCACGGCUCAACUCUGCAGUUCCCUCUGGGCAGCAUUUCCAGGGACUCGUAGGUCAGCAUGGUCAUCAAGGACAGGUGGUGAGAGCAGCUCCUCAUUGUCCUGGUGACCCCGAUGGUUCAUUUUCUGGUGUCUCUGUGGUGAGCUCCUGUUACAUCAAGCGAGUGGAAACCACCGAGGACCAACAGCCCUGGAAAUGCACUGAGAAUGCAGGAUGAGUGGGCUUUGUGAGGACUGUUUUCUGUGACUUAGCAAGGAAAGCCUGGAAGGGAAAGUAAAACUGCUUCUUCCCAGGGAAGCCAGAAACCUGAGAACUUAAAAGGGAAGGAGAACUUAAUAUAUUUCAAAAAUGUAACCCUUGUGAAUUAGCAACAGCUUUAUAAACAAAGAGAUUUCCGAGCUUAUAGAAUCUAUUCUGCUUUGUUUCUGCCCCCAUGGCUCCUACCCCUGUUUUUGUGGGUACAAUUUUCAUAUAGAACAUUUUUACACAAGCUUCAAAACUCUCUGAGGACAGCUUUCCCCUUUGUGUCUGUCGGGUCCCAGGCAGUCACAUCCCAGGAAGUGCUGGGGUUGGGCUCCUUGCUCCACAUCCUUCUUCAGUGGCACGAAGCGUGGGGUGGAGUGUGUGAGUCAUGUGUGAUCUUGGUGUGGGCUAUGGCUGGUCUGCAGCACCCCUUCAAUGACUGCUUCAAGGGCUUUUCAUGAUGCUUGUAGCUCAUGAGCUAGUGUUUCCUAGAUGCUGUUUCCAGGUGUCUUGCAUGUCACACACUGGCCUACCAGGGCUGGAGUGAGAUCAUGAGCGCCAGAUUGUUGGUGAAGGAAGUUGACAGAGACAUCGAAUGUCGGUGAACAGGAGUGACCUUGGGUCUCAAUAAAUACUGUGGUCAACUGAAUCCAGAACCCACCCUUACCAGCAGGGCCCACUUCUUCCCCAGCAGGCCGAGCUCUUCCCCUCCUGUCUUCCCUGGCCCUUGCUUUGUAGCUCUGUGUGGCUGUGUCAUGUCUGGUUGUAUCUGUAUAUACUUCUGCCUCUCCCGCUAUCUAGAUGGCUCGGGGAGGCACACCACACACCAGGUCACCUUCCUCUCUGAACCCCCAGCACCUCAUACUGUUUCUGUGCAGAGAUAAGGCUGGGUGAAAGCUUGUGUGAAUGAUCUGAAGUCUUCUACUCUAGGCCAGUCUCCAGGAGCAUUAUGAUCUUUAGGAGGGUGGGCUUGGUUCCUCUGUACAAUAAUGGGUCAUAAAACUGAGUGGUCAAGAUCAUCCCGGUGAGGGCAGUCCGUGUGUUGCCAUAGUUGCUGUACCGGUUAAGAAUGCACCUGGCUGCAAUUUCCUGAAAACCUGACGUAUAGUGGCUUAAACAAAGAGUGGUUUAUUUUCCUUCUGUCAUAGCAAUCUGGGGGAGGCCACUGUGGCUUUGGCGCAGGAGGUCGGGAAAGGCCCGCUUCUCUGAUAUCAUUGGGGGCCUCCCCAGUGCUUGUGUGGCAGAAUGACAAGAGGAAGAAGAAGGAGAAUUAUGGCACUGAGUAUCAUGAGAUUUGGGGUCAUAUAUCUUUAGUGGGCGGUGUUUGCUGCCCCAAAUGUCUCAUGCCAUUAAAAUGUUCUGGAAAUGAUUUAGGUAGUUGGAGUUUCCUUCCCAAAGACAAGGCAUUUACAGCAUGAUGUCCAAUAUCCAUUGAGUUUGUGUCAUGCAUUCAUUGUAUUCAUAGUCUGCUUUAGGUACUUAGCAAAAUAUUGCUGAUAUUAACAUGCCUUUGUUUGCUUCACUGGAGAUGAAAUUGUGCUCCAAGUGUUUUCCAAGGUUCCGUAUGACCCAUCAUUUGAUGAAACAAGAACAGCAGUCAGAUCCAUUACAAAGAGAGACACACAAAAAAACUAUGUGAAAAUGAGCUUAGCCCCUGGUGUUGUGUUGGAACUUCAGAUGCUUGCAGACACUUCAUGAAUGCUCUGUGACACUCAGAAUAGGCUAUUCCCAACAGAAGAGCUUGAACAAUGCUGCAUUUGCAUCAGGUUCAAAUGAGCGAGAGGAACAUUUGGCUAAAAUAUUUGGAACCAGCAUUGCUUGGAAUUCUCCUAAACCAGAAUAUUUCCUUGGCAGUGUGGACAAAAUUCCUGAUAAAGAUCACCUUUCAGAGGAGAAGAAUUUUAAAGAAUCCUGUCUGUUCGACAGGGAUUUAAGAGAGCAGUUAACUACUAUAGAUAAAGAAACACUUCAAGGAGCAGCUAAACCAGAUCUCCUCUGGCAAACACGACAUAUAAUAUUUUUAUAAUGGAUGGAAAGACAUGGUGGCACAAUUCUGAAGAAAAAAAUUUCACAAAACUUGCAAAAAAACAGAAACAGUUGAAGAGCAGCUCCUGUGUCUAAGCCAGGUCGUGGGGCCGUCAAACCAGGACUUGAAACCACAAUGCGAGGACAUUCUCCAUCUGCGCACCACAGGGAGGCAAUUCCAUUUCUGCCCGGGAGGUGUAUUCUACAAAAACGUCUGCUUCCCAUCCCAAUUUGAAUGGACCAAGAAAAACUGCUUUACCAUAGGACACUUGUGGCAAUAUGGCACCGAUGGCUGGCGUCGGUGAACCCGACAGACUAUGGAUUUAUCAUUUAAUAAAGCAUUGAUUCAUUUUUUCAGUCAUUCAUUGAACAGAUAUUAAUAGACCACCUCACAUGCUGACAAUAUCAAAAUACAAUGAGGAAACUAACAGUGACCCAGGCAUGCAUUCUUCCCCGAGCAAGAUCACAGUCCAUGGUGUGAGCACAACCAUACUAAAUAGCUUUUAUGGGAGGUGGGAGUACAGAAAGUAUUAUAUCUGCAAAGAAACUGCUAAGAAUUGUGGGAGCGCCCCAGGAGGUGAUUUCCUGCUUGCGUGACCAGCACAAAGAAAUGGGGUAAUUGAGAGUGUCAUGAAGUGGGGUUAUUUAUUUAUUGAGUC
This 4633-nucleotide long non-coding RNA is filed under the name Homo sapiens (human). Its description in RNAcentral is "HSALNT0036167". Lineage: Eukaryota; Metazoa; Chordata; Mammalia; Primates; Hominidae. The record is from RNAcentral.